This is a long non-coding RNA of Astatotilapia calliptera (eastern happy), 3334 nucleotides long. Lineage: Eukaryota; Metazoa; Chordata; Actinopteri; Cichliformes; Cichlidae. The record is from Ensembl.
GUACAAUGAAGCCUUGACUGAAGAGACAGCCUCCGUUUGUCUGCUCUCAGUUUACAACAUAACUGUGUCAUAGUUAUAGUUGUAAAGGGAGGAGACAAAAGUAGGAGGAGUACUGGGAGAAAAACACGUUGUUUGUUUCAUUUCAGAGCCAUACAUAACUGGGUCAAGGACUUUAUUUUACUCUAUUUUAAACUUUAUUUUAGGGCUACGCAGUUGCACUGAUCACAACUAUGGAUAUAAACAUGCUGCUCCUGUUUCUAUUGCUGCUGCUCUUUGGUUCUCAGGCUAACCAUUUCUUUGGGACAGUGAUGACUUUUACCCCCAAAGACAAGACACAUAAUGGCUCUCUCAUGGUGGUCUUUCACUACAAGCUGAGCUUUCGCUCAUGCACCGAUCAAGACACGUGGAGCUGUGUCAGCGGUGACUGUGGUACAGAAAGUGUGGAGCUGAGCAUUGUGGAUGAGGAGGACAAAGAGUGGUGUCAGAGGGAAGGAGUCAUGUCUCGGGAAGUUUCCAGCAAUGCUGUGUUUCAGCUACGAUUGGAUGGCGGUGACUGGAUUCAAACCAAAAACAAGGUGAAGAAAUGGAGAGCUCUGACUAAUGUGGACCUGAGGACUCGUCUCGACACUAAUCAGCCAAACAAGUCACCUCAGACCACCAUCCUGCCAGCCCUGCGAGUCCCUUCAAACUGUCAAAGAGUCUUCACCCUGUCGGCCUUUGACCCUGAUGGAGACAAGGUUAAAUGCAGAUUUGGAGACAUAGACGCAGAUGAGUGUAAUCCUUGUACACCACCGUCUGUUCUGACCAUCUCACAAGCUUGCACAUUGUCAUUUAAUCCUGUCAGCAGGCAAGAUGAAGGUUCAUAUGCAGUACAGCUGGAAAUGGAGGACUUCCCAAAAAAGACUAUCAUCAUCAGUGAUUAUGGUUUUCAGACAAACAUCACUCCCAGCGAGGCUCUCAGCAAAAUACCAAUCAGAUUUGCUCUGAUGGUGGACUCUCCUGCACCAUCAUGCUCAGAGGGAGUCUACCUGCCCAGGUUUCUACCUCCAACCCCAGCCAAUGGGGCUCGCAUGUACACUAAUGACACAGUGAACAUUACCAUUAUGGCAGAGGUGAAAAACACCAUGGUUUUAAAGCUUUUGUUCAGUGGACCGCACAAUGUUGUAAAACACAAUGAAUCACAUGGAGAAUUUAUCCUGACUUGGACGCCAUCUGAGAAUCAAGAUGGAGAAGAUCAUCCCGUCUGCUUCUUAGUCCAGGCAGAGAAAGGUGCAGCCAAAUAUCAGUCUGAGCUACGAUGUGUGAUUGUGAGCUAUCGCACAGAACCAGUCAUCACAACAUCUAUGCCAACAACCGUUCUGCUUUCAACUACUCCAGCGAGCACGACUACUGUAACCAAAACAGAAACACUGAGCAUAUCAACUAUGGUGGCAGAUGAGCCCAAAGCAUCAGGUGAUGACAGCAGUCGUGCUGGCAAAAUUGCUGGUGCUGUGUGUGGGGCUGUAGGUGUUGCAGCGACCGUUGGCAUUGUGGUCUGGGUGGUGAGAGGAAGUCCACACGCGUUCUAUAAAGUAGUCUAAUGGAAGAAGAAAGAGAUUAAGGAAAAACAAAACUGGCUAUAAAAUCUAGAGAACUUGGGAAAAGGAUAUCACAAACGUUGUUACUGCACAUUUUUUUUCUGAGUAAAUAAUCACAUUUCUACUUAUGUAUAUACUAUAUGAUAUAGAUGCAUAUUGUUUACUGAUGAAGAAUCGCACCAUCGUGUCAAUCUCCAGUGUACUGAUAUUAGUCUUUGGCUCUAUCUGGUGGUGGAAUGAUGGCAUGACAUACAUGUACAGAGUUGUAAAUAAAAGCUACAGAGAGCAGCUUUUAGAUGUGUGUAUUUCAUCCUUUAACAUCUUACAGACUUAAAUGUAAAAUACAAAUGAGGCAGGUUUAAUAUGUACAGAGAAAAUGGUUGGAAGUAAGGCACUGAGGUUUGAAGCCUGAAAAGAAAAAAGAAAAGUUCUUAUAAUGCACCUUUCUGCUACAACUGAGCACUAAAAGCACUUUAGUUCUGUUGCUUUAUUGUUUAUGUUUUGUGAUCUGGAUGGUGAAGGAAAGUCAGGGCUGUUAGGGCUGACAAACACAUCUUUUAACCCUGUGAGGUGGAAAUCAGUGCCGGUGAUAACAAUAAACCUAAUAUGACCAGAAUCUCAUCAUUUAGACAAACACAAAACAGCCAUUAUCUUUCUCUUAAAAUGUAAAUAGUUUUUGAAUGUUUGUCACUUUAGAUUUUUUUUUUUGAGUGCAUACAAACUAUAGGGGUUUGCUCAUCUGCCUUCACAUGCAUACAAACUAUAGGGGUUUGCUCAUCUGCCUUCACAUGCAUACAAACUACAGUGACAUCUCAUUCUUUAGUCAUAGGGCUUCAACUCUUCUGGGAAGGCUUUCCACAAAGUUUAGUAAUGUAAGAGUUUUUGAUCAUUAUUCCAGAAGUGGAUUUGUGAGAUCAAAAACUAAUGUUUGAUAAGAAGGCCUGGUUCACUUAACUCUAAUUCAUCCCAAAGGUGUUUUCUAAGAGGCUGAUGUCAGGACUCAUCCAUGUAUUUAUGGAGCUUGGUUUGUGCUCUGGUGCAAGUCAUGUUGGAACAGGAAGGGGCCAUAGCCAAACUGUUCUGACAAGGUUGGAAACUUAAAAUGGAAACAGCUCUAGAAUCCAUUGGCAAUGUGCUUUUUGCCACUGCAUCCAGUUACGUUCCAAUACAUCUCUAGAUAGAUAGAUAGAUAGAUAGAUAGAUAGAUAGAUAGAUAGAUAGAUAGAUAGAUAGAUAGAUAGAUAGAUAGAUAGAUAGAUAGAUAGAUAGAUAGAUAGAUAGAUAGAUAGAUAGAUAGACUUUGCUUAUAGGUGGUAACCCAAACCCCACUGUGCCAGUGUGUGUGUGUGUGUGUUUGUGUGUGUAUUUUAUUCAUUUCUAUGUUUAACAUUAAAUGUCUGUACUAUUAAAUCAUUUGGAUUGCUUGUAUUAAGAGAAAACCAGCAGAUGGUGCUAAUUCUAUUGGUUACCUCUGGCCAAGCUGUAAUUCACAUUCUUUGCUGGAGCAAGUUUGACAUUUGAUUUGUUCUGAGAAUGAGUGCGAUUUAGUGAGUCUUUUAUAAGAAUAUGAGAAUGUAGAUUAAAAGUGUAUCACACAACAGAAACCUAAGAGUGUUUCAUAUUAGCGUUUUUGCAAAUCUGGCCAAAUUUUUCCACAGGAAGUGGUUUCAGUCAGACAGACUUGCCCGUGGUUUACAUUUGUAUUUGGCACAAUGCAGCUGUGAUUGUGUUGACCAAGACAUAUUGUUAUAUAAAAU